AAUUUGGGAAGAAAGUAGCACUCUGGUACCAUUUAAAUGACCAUGAACUCUUCAAAAAUGCAUGUAGAUAAUGUGCAAGUCCUCCAAACACACCGAGUCCAGACUCAGCAGGCACUUGCUUUAUGUUUCUCAUGAGGAAAAGCUGUGAAAGUUAAAACCAAAACCAAAAACAAACAAACAAAUAAACACACAUACCUGUAGCACAGCCAAUGUGUGAGACAGCAGAGCCAAGCCACAAGAGUGCAGCAAGGACAGCAAGCACUGAAUGGGAUCACGAAGAAAGUGCUAACUCAUAAAAUGGAAGGGACUAUGUGUGCAAGUGUGAAAAAUCCAAGUGGAAAUUCCUGUAGACCUGAUCUCCAGUUAUGAACUUGGACUUGUGUAGGUAAUGUGAGAUAUCCUUUUAUGAACAUGUACGCAUGGGAACAAGCACAUCAUCCUGCAUGAUGGCCUCACUUCACAGGAUACGUGGAGACAUCUACACGGCAACGUGCUGUGGGGUGACACAUGCAGAGGUUCCCAGCACCGAAGACUGGCCCUCUUAGGGAUGGCUCUCCACAGUGCCGUUUCUGAACAGAGCUACUCUCCUGACCUUCCAAAUCAACCUGCAAAAACCCUCCAGAAGAUGCAGUGCAGUUUAACCAGACUAACUGCAGCUUUUCCAGCACCUUUCCCAAACCUCAGGCAAAGCAAUGGGAAGAGAUUUCAAAUGCACGCUGUACAACUUAUCAGACCUAGAACAACUCCCCUACCACUGUGCUUACUGUUUUCCCUCACUUUGCUCAGUUCAUCUGAGCAGUAAGCUGGCAAAAAUCCAUUUAUAUUUAAGUAGAAGUCCCGUUUCUUUUAAAAGUACCCUAAUACUACAUGUCAAAAUAGAAGCUGUGUUUAAACAAAAAUAAUGGCAUUUCCAAGGCUAGUAAACAAAAGAAAUAUGCUGUAUUGAUAAGUAUGAUUUUAGUCAUGUAAUGACUUGAAGAAUGCUGAUGAGUUAUGUAUAGAAAGGAGAAAAUCAUCUUGUACUGCUGAGGUUGCUGCCAGAAACAUGCCAGAGUUCACUGCAUAACCUGUGAACAGCAGUGAAUGCCUGCUAUAAAAUAUUAAUUAAACUGACAUAGAUGUAGAUUAUAAAAUCUACAUAAAAUAGUUCACAAAAGGGAUUAAUAGAGAUGCUGAUUAGACAAUGAAAAAAACAAAACAAAACAAAACAAAAAAAAAAAAAAAAAAAACAGAUUCCUCCACCCAUUCUCAAUGUAGAAUUCAUCUGGUACUGUUAAGAAAAACAUGAUUAAAUAAAAAAUGGAGGAAAACAGGAUUAUUGAAGUUGUUUAUUAAUUGAAUUAUAAUUUCCACCCAUGUGUAAUUCAACCACAAAGUUAAUGAGAAGGAGUUUGUUGGUUUAGGGUUCUGACUGCUUUUGCAGUUUAGAUCAGCUGCUUGUACUUGUAGUUGAGAUCAAUUCUUCAUGAAACUGCACAUGAAACACGGAUCAAAUGUGUCUAAAGCCUCAGACACAUGAACACUUCUUUACAUAUGAAGUACUCAGACUUGAUCUCCACCUAAGAAAUCAGAUGCAUUUAGGCCUCCUAUAAAAAUAAAACCAAACAGUAACACAAUUUUCAUAAGACCUAGUUUAGGCUAUGUCUGAUCUGUGAAUUUUGAGGUCAUGGCACAACAGCAUCUAUGCUGUUAUCCCACCCACAGAGGUGAGACUGGAGCUCCAGUAUCAAUAAAUAGACUAAAAACAGCUCUAGUUUUAAACACUUCCGUGCCUUCUCCCUCAUCCCUCACUUUGUUUUAGCCACUGCUCAAAAGCACCUUGUCAGCCCUUUUGCUGCUUCCUCUUUGGCACACCACCAAGGUGGCAACUCCCCAUCUUCUCAUCCAGCAAGCCCUGGCCCUCUAGAGCUAAGUGUGCCAGAGACAAAACUGCAAAAAAGUGGUCUCCAUAGGAGUCUGCUAUAGCAGGGGUUACUCCUGCCUUUCAGAGCACUGGUGGUGCUUGUAUGGCAGAGGUUCAGACCUACUAGCUGCUGUUCUUUGGAUGCUAUUUCAUCAAAUAUAUAUGUAGGUUGCCUAAGGUUUGUCCUCCAGUUGUGUUUCAGUUUGCUGGGUCAUCUUAGUGUGACUCAGCUAUUUGGCCAAGCAAGUUUAAAUAACAGAGAAUUACAAGAUUAACCUAUCAGAGGGAAAUAGUACUGUUUGUCAUGAUUAAAAUCUCCCUAGGAAGCUCAGUAUAUCUCUUAUUUACAUUUGUUUGUACGUGAAGAAAGACCGUACUCACGAUGAGCAAGCAUAAACAGAGCACACUCAGAGUACAACUUAAAUCAUGCUUAUUACAGCUCAUCGGCUUAUCAGGCCGAUGACCUGAUUUUGCUGUGUAAUGAAAAACUGAUCUUUCAAAUAAUAAACAUUCAGUCAUGCAAAAUAAAAUACAAGGUGUAAAGAUAGUGUAUCACAACCAGAGCUCCCUCUUAUAAACUGGAGAGUCCUAAGGAGGUGAAAUUCCACAUUUUAUCAAAAUCCAUCAGGCUACAGUGCCUUGCUGCGUACAGAGACAAUAUGCAGCAGCUUUCUGCUGACCAGUAAGCCAGGUCUCCUCUGGGAGUAGUACACCAUUACUGCAGUGUUAGGCAGGGACCAUUCAGAGCCUUACUAUUGCAGUUGGAGCCAAACCUCCACCAAGUUUUCCCGAUGACAAUGAAGGAGCCGGGCCCCAUCUUGUGGACAUUUCCUGGAGUGAGUAGGGCUGUGACAGCUGCUAACCACAGCGCUUGUAAUGCAGUGCUGAAAAGUUAGCUCUGAUAAGGAUCAGCAUCAGAUCUUGCCUAAAAUAGAGAUUUACGUCUGGGCUGGGCAGCUAGGAUUUACAUGAAGAAAGCUCCUCCUUUCUCUCGAGGCAAACCAUCCUCUCUUUUCUGCAGGUGUGGGGAACCCUGCCCAAAUUAAGGGUUUCAAAGACCUGGAGAAGAGUUUACACACUGCCUGCAAGCUCCGUACUCAUGCACUGGGGAAAGGUAGAUGCAGGCAGAUGAGAAUGAACAGGAAUGAAAUGAGGGCACCCAUCACCACCAAGGUGGACCAACCAAGCCUGGCAACAAUUUAGCCCAGGCACCAGAAGCCACAGCAUCCAUAGCUGUGGGCUGUGAAUGGCAGGAGAGCCUGGCUCCCCAGCAGGGCUUGAGAAGCCCUGGGCUGGCCACAACGGCUCAGACAGAGCGCGUUUGGGGAAAAGUACUGGGAGUUUUCCACAUCUCUUCUGUAAAAGCUGCUCGCAUAACCUGCAGCUCUGUGUCACACAUGCUAUGCCACAGCUGCAAAACCCAGCUCAUCAGCUCCAGCUGAGGGGGCUCCCACAAAAUGUAUAUUUUGCUUUCCCAACUACCUCAGGUUUUUUAUUUUCUUGAUAAGCAAAAAGUCUUAUCAUGCUCACACACACACUCAUUUACUACCAAAACCAUGUUAACGUGUGGCACUGUCUUCACCAGCCUGCAAUAUUUGGAGGAUUUUUCUGAGGCUACCUAAGAACAUGGUGACAGCAGCACCAAAGCCCAAAGCUCUCCCCUGGGAAGCGUGAAUGCUGCAGGACCAGGGCCAAGAUGUUCAGCUGAACAUGACAAAGCUGGUGACUUGGAUCAUGUUCUUUCAUCCAGUCAGCAAAGUCAUGCCAGUGAUCAGUAGUUUUCCAGGGGUCUUUCCCCUUGAAAAAGUCUGGGCAGAUGGUUCUGUGUGAGACAUGGAAACAAGUCAACUUUCACAUCCAGCAGCUCCUGUCUGUUAGAGUGUGCUGCAGAGCUGUAGGAACUGGACGGAUGUGACACUACUGCCAGAAUCAAGCUGUUUCACAGAUAGCCAUGAGAUGGGUGAUCUUACAUGGUGAGUAGUUCCCUCUGCUGAUAACUGAGAGCUAAUUACACUUGUUAAUUGUUCUCCCACCUUUUUCAACAUCUGAAUGCUGGGUUGGUAUUAGGAAGCAUGAAUUAUCCUGAUCUUCAGGACUAAAACCUCUAUUGCUUUGGCAUUACGUGCAAGUAGAUGUUGUAACAUGUGGGGGAGUGUCUCAUGUCCCCCAUAACAAGCCUGAAAAUGCUUGAAUGAUGUCUGUUUUUGCAAAAGUACUUCCUAUCUUUUUCUUUUUUUUUUUUUAAACCUAAGAUGAAUGAGGUUGCUGAAGUGCAAGAGCCUGCUUGAAGAACUGACAGGCAUCCCCAAAGUCAGCUAACACCAUUGGCUUCUGAGAUGGCAGCCACGGUCUUAACCCAUUAGCACCUUUAGUUCAGAAGGGCACAACCUAUGGUGUCCCCUUCAAGGAAAUAGUGCUUAGGAGGCAUUAAGCUUUGCAAUAGUUGUGAAAGAGCCUACUGUCUAUCUUUUGGUAGCUUCCCAGAAAUCAUUUCUUUGGCCUAUCUUGAUUGAUUCCCAGCCAGCUGGCUCUUCUCCAGGCACCCGGCUGUGAAGACCAUAGUAAAUAGCCAGCCACACCUGAACUGCUUAGAAGUCUUUGAUGGGAUCCUGUUUAGUCAGAAGCUUUAUUUGUUCCCUCCCGCUUUGAUCUGUGCAACACAGUGUAGUGAAGCAACGACCCAGGAUAUUUCCUACCUGUCCUGUCUCACCUCAUUCCCUCUUGCCACCGAUUUCAUCCAUUGCACUUUUCCUCUUCCUGCUUUCCCCAUGGCCCGGUUCCAGGCAAGCAGAACCUCACCUCUACAGCCUGCUUCUCGUCACUGAGCUCUAGCACGGAUGAGACACAGGCACUAGCACAAAGCAAGGAGCAGGGGAAACUACUACUACCAGGGAACAAGCAGAGAUGUCCAUGAGUUUCAGGGCAUCCUUUUGCUGGUUUAGAGAAAGCCUCCUUAUAGCUUCUUUGUCUCACUUCCUUGGUUUACUGAGUUCCUCAGUGCCACCCAGCUUUUGUGCAAGUAAUGAAAAAAACUGAGGAGAAUCAUUCAGUGUUAUCACAAGGCAAAGGUGGGCUCCCUUGGAUGGCAGGACAGACCUAAACUAAUUAAUUUGUAGGGAGCAGCAAAUAACAUGAUUAUAACCUGUCAAGUCUUAGUUUUCAUUAAAUAACAAACAAACAAACAAACAAAAAACAUACUUGAGAGGUGAGGCUAAUAUUCUUUCAAAAACAAUCGGGUAAAACUGAGGAAGAUAGUCCUAAAGAUAAUCCCCACUUCUCAUAAAGUGGGUAGGAGCACGUGAUCUCAUACUGCUUUGCUUUUUGCCAGGACCUUGCACUAAGGCUGCCAAGAUGUGACAUGUUUGCCUUUUUCCUGGGUCCAGGGAUAACAUUUUAAACUCCAGCGGUAAUUAAUUUCAAUGCUAAAUGCUCCAGUGGACCAAACAAGGGAAAGAAUGGGAAUUCAUUACCAUAAGGGCAAAAGAAAUUAUGGUCCUGUAGCAUGAUCUUGCUACUGCUGGCUAUAAAAUAGUGGCCAGUAAUUCCUACAGAAAGCCCCCAGACUGUGGCUGAAGUAGGAUGCCUCCCUCAAUGUCAGGCAGUUUAGAGUUAAAGCUUCAAUUGAACGUACUACCUCCCUUACCUAUUUGUGCCAAUGUAUGAUGACAUUGAGAGGGAAAAGCGUUUGGGUUGUCCUCAGACCUAUUGCUAUGCCGCAUCUGCAGACACUCAAAAUCUAGUUUUUCCCAAAGUUGAUAUCCUCUAUCUUUACCUUAUCUGCUCCUUAAUACUUGUCUUUGUGCAGUUUUGUUUUUUACCUUUUUUUUUUUUUUUUUAAUGAAGUCAAAAUAAAAGUCUUUCUUUAAAGGAGUGGUUUUUGCUGAAUGUUUUGCAUAUUUUUCAAAGAGCUGUUUCUGACUGCUUAGCAAUUUCAGAUUUCUCCCACUCAACACAGUUACAAGCAGUUAGCCUCCCUCUGCUGCCAGCUCAGUCUUCGUGGACCAGUUUGCCAUGACAUACCUGGAGUACAGGAUCCUGCGUUAUCCCAGCUCGGUUCCUCUGUUCGGUGAGAUACCAGCUAGGCUUCCCUAAACACGGUAAGAAGAAAACCCGUUCUGCUGGCAGUUUUGCUCCAGCUGCUGCUUCUGCUGCCCAUCCAGUUUCCAGGUGCUUUUCAACUCUUCUGCAGCCCUGGGGAUUGGGAGACGAGGAGGAGACGCUCAGCACACAAAUCAUCCUGACCGGAAGGGGUGGAGACAGAUCAUGCAGAGAGGCAGGGUUUGGUGGAUUCAGUAGGCUCCAAAUCAAUUGCCUUUUACUCCACCUUUAUUUAUUUUUAUUAUUUAAGGAGUUUAGAAAGCAAGGCGCACACCGAUGCUAAACUGCACUUAUUUUUUCAUCAUCUCUAAAGACGUGUAAUUCCUAACACAAUAGCAUGGAGAGGUUGAAAGAAGGACUAGUGAAUCUUCUUACUAACAGACUUCAGUUUUCCGGUAAGAUUUCCCUUCCAGACCUGUACACUACAAAGCAACUGGUCUGUGCAAAAAUGGUAUGAAGCAAUGUACUGGUGCAGCCAUUUAAGACUGCAGAACCUUUGGACCUCAGCAUUUUUAAUUGACCCAUCUAGCACCUAGUGGUGCAUCCGCUAAGGCGCUGUUAAGUUCAAAGAUGCAUUUUCUUAUAGCAUAUUCAUGCACUUUUGUUGUCCACAAUAAAUGCCUUUAAUGGAAUUUGUGCCAAAUGAAGCCGAGUAUGUCCUGGCAAACUUACAGCAUAAAAACUAAUGGAAGUCUCCCCUGCACACAGACGAAACAUAUUACGACCACACCCACAAGUAUUCUCAACAAGUCUAAAAGUGUUCCAGGUUAUUUUUGAUCGGACUUGCUUUCAACAAGUCAAAAACAUUUGAGUCUGAACCGGUUGUUAUUGAUGGUGACUCGCUGAAAUUUUCCGUUCCGAUUUCCAUAAUGGCUAUGUAUGCAAGGAACAUUAGUUCAGCCCUCGGGCUGAUGUCUACUGUAGGUUUAAUUUUCUCUGUGUGUGCACGUGAUUUAUGUGUGCGAGCGUGUUGGGGUGGGGGAGAGAAAUGAAAGAGACCAAAGAACUAAAUGAAAAUGACCAUAUAAAGGUCAAUAAACAAAUUUUGAUCCCAAGUGUGUGAUAAACUGUGGGACAAACAAGUCCCACGAUUGCUCUGUAGAUCCUGGGCCGUACUCUGUGUGGUCGUGACCACAGGGUAAUCUGAGAACUGGUGAUGGUUGGGUUCAGUUCACCCAAACUUCAGACAUCUGCAAUUAGGAUGGCCAUGUCAGCAAGGUGUCUACACCCCCACAGCUGCCGUUGCGACCUAGGGUAUGAUUCACACCCUAUGGAUGUCUUUAGAACGAGGUGGAUGGCCCCCAAGAUGUCGCCAGACGUGCUGAUCUGAUUGUCACCAAGUUUAAUGGCCUAGCGCAGGUGUAGGUUGCUGCGCUGUGAACAUCGCCAGUCAGGCAAGGCGAGUCCCACCUCUGUGUGCUGCGGGAGACACAUGCAACUCAAAAUUAGGGUUUGUCACGACCAGAGAGAGGGUGUUUUUCUCUGUCCUGUCAUACCUGUCAUUAGCUUUGCACAUCAAGAUUGUUUAAGAAACUAUUAAAAAGAUUGCUUGUGUUGCAAGGGAGGGAGUGGGGAGACUUCACGGAAAAGAUCUGGUUUGUAUGUUGAUAUUAAUGACAUCUGGCCUGAGUUUGUCUAACCCCAGCUGGGUAGGCAUCCUGUAGUCUGAUCCACAAGACUUAAGCACUGUCUUCCUACUUUGCUCCCCCAGGAUUUGGGUCCAACUGAGCUGCAGCCCCCUGUGCAAGGAACAGACCAGCAGUACCAGGCGUCUGAUCCAACAAGCAUUGCAGCAAUUGUAAAUCCUGUCUUUCUGUCCAGCAUCUCUUUGAGGAUGGCUAGGCUGAAAGGAGAGCAAAGGGCUAGCUCUGCUGUAAUGCAUGUCCUUGCCUGCAUGCUGUGAUUGUUUGACCUGCAAACCCUACGUCAUUCAGAUCUCCCAGACUUGCAGAAACCACCUCUUUCCUCACAGGAUGGAAUCAUCUCUGUAAUGGGCUCGGGGUUGUGGAGUUCACUGUACACAUGCAUUUCCUAUAGUCUCAAGCAACUUAUAAAUUUAUGUUUUAAUUGUUCUGUAAAUAACCCUAUUUUUAGGGAUUUCCAGAAAAAAAAAAAAAAAAAAAAAAAAAAAAGGAUAUUUGAGGGUUGGAGUGGUCAAAUUUCUCCUUCACCUGAAGCACACAAUGCGUAUCUUCUUUUACUGCUUGUUUUGUUGGUCUGGUUUGGUUUGGUUUGGUUUGGUUUGGUUUGGUUUUACCCUGAAGGUUUGCACUAAUACUCCUAGUUUUACAGAACGGGGUGUGGAAUAAAACCCCAAAGCAAAACCUCACAGCUGUGAGCUGCAUUUUUACCUGUAUGUUAACAUAAGAGACAAGAUCCUAGGACAUGCAAGCCUGCUGUCCCGAGGCAAAAUAGACAGAUACGCUCUCACAGAUAACUAGUGAUACAUAAAAACCCAGCAAGGCAAGUACUCUGCUGGCAUCUAGUGCGAAAGUGAAGGAGUCCAAUGGAGAGGCCAAUGUACAGGUUUAAACAUGCCUCAUUUACCUUCACCUGGUGCAGUGUUUGGAGUGCUGCUGGUAGCAACAGAGUUGUCAGAAAGCUGAAAUCAUCACAAACGCUGUAUUUACGAUGUGAAAGCCCUGUUCAAAGCGCCUGCGACGAGUGGUGUUCUGCUCACAGCCUCAGCCUGCAGAAGCUGCAGGCAAGGGAAGGAGGACGGCGGGGCUUGUGGUAGGGUUGCUGCUGCUGAGGGCACCUCGUGGGAGCUGCCAAACGGAGGAGCUGGUGGAGAGGCUUGGAGGAAGGGAGAGCUGAGAGGGAUGGAGGGGUAGUGCUCAGAAGGGAUCCAUGCUGCAGAUGCAUAAAUGGUGAAUAUUUACCGUUUGAGGAAAGAGCUUGUGGGAUCUCGGAGGGUCUAUUUUGUGAGCUUUACAGAAAAAAUGCGGAGUGUUAAGUUUAAUUUUGCAAUAAAAUGAAAACUAUUUUAA
Anas platyrhynchos (mallard) is the source of this 8991-nucleotide non-coding RNA. NCBI's taxonomy places the organism in Eukaryota, Metazoa, Chordata, Aves, Anseriformes, Anatidae. The record is from RefSeq and is a predicted model, not a curated record.